UCAGACAUGACUUAGAGACUAAACCACAACCAGACCACUAAUUCUGUAUGACGUCAGUCCAUUUGAGGUUUGUCUGGCGUUUCUUUACAGUGUAAUCCACGACAGGGCUCUCGUCAGAUUUCAGCCAUGGGCAUGAGGGUGAUGUGGCAGAAACUGUAAGAUACCUGUCUGGGUGACACCUGCUGCUGCUUCUGGGCCUGCAGUUCCUCGCAGAAUUUCAAAGAAGCAUGUUCAUACUUCUUUCAGCUGCAGGUGCAGGAUAAAGCCAGAUUGUGCCUCCAGCUCAAGGCUAAACUGACACCCCAAAAUACAGGCACUUAUUAAUUGAGGAGCAAAAAUGUAUGGGCUCAGUUUUAAAGAAGCAAAAAACUAUGAAGUACAAAGGUUCCAAAACGAUUUUGUUGAUUACUUAUAAAAUAUGCGACAGAACAGUAACCAGUAAAAUAAUGAGGGAAAAAGAACAUUCCUCAGGGCAAUUGAUAAGCAAUUUUACCACGCCUCAGAUUUAACCCUUUUGCAGGAAGAUGCAGAUGACUAAAGCUCUUGAGUUUUACAGCUCUGGUACAAUGGUGACAGCCCAGCCUGGUUUUCAAAACACCUACAUCUGGACAGUUGAUACCCAUUUGCUCCUCAAAGGAUGUGAGCAGAACAAAGAAACACUCUUAACUAGAAAUGCUACUUAGAAAGAAUUUCAAAAGAAUCCGAAGUGGAUUUCAAAAAUAUCUUGUCUCCUCUGUAAAGAAUGGCUUUCGAGAAAUGUCUAAUGCUGUUUCUGAACUAAAGCUAGUCAGUAAAACGGUUUGUUUGACUUCUAUUUAUUUUCUGAAUACAUGGAAACCAUGUCCAAGAACAAACUUUUCUUGGCAUCCUUGGCAUUUGUGGGAAAUAAAAACCUCAUAGGAAUGAAUAACUGAAGUCAGCCCACCAACAAAAAAAUAUGUGAAAGUGCUCAUCAACAGUAAGUUCACAAGCAGGUAUUGUAUGCUUAUUAUUUUUCCUUCUCUCAUUAGUUUUCACUAUUUCUAUCAUUUUCUUUCAAAAGGAAGUGGAGACCCAUACACACAUGUCCACUCACUUGGAAGGAUUUCUUGGAGGGGGUCAAUAACCUGAUUGCUAAUUCAGAAAAACGUUCCUUAGAACAUGGCUGUAUUUGGAGAUGCAGACUUUAAAGAUGCUGGGCCCUAAUCCUUCUUCAUAAACACACACACAGGAGGAUCACAGGAUGGCACAAAGAGAAGAGGCUCAUCUGCAAGCCAAGGAGAAAGACCUCAGAAGAAACCAACCCUGCUGACACCUUGACCUCAGGCUUCUAGCUUCCAGAUUUGUGGGGAAGUAAAUGUCUAUUGUUUAA
This is a non-coding RNA of Odocoileus virginianus texanus, 1351 nucleotides long. The record is from RefSeq and is a predicted model, not a curated record. NCBI's taxonomy places the organism in Eukaryota, Metazoa, Chordata, Mammalia, Artiodactyla, Cervidae.